UCUGGGAGCUGGAAGCUUCGUCUUUAAUCGGAAAAUAAGCACAGAAAUUUUGUCCAAACAUUCUUUGCAUCCUCGACUGUUCAGUGUUGUUCAGAGUACCAUAGCGCGCCCUACGGAGUUGUACAAAGUCAGCAACCGUUUUGGGGCACAAGUAUAGGUAACACAGGACUGAUGACGGGGUGGGGCGCGCAGUGAACUGGUUUUCUAAAAAGAUUGGAAGAUCCGGCCAAAGAAGGUGAUAGCCCUGUUCAUUCGUUCCCAUGGUUCGAUCCUUCCCAGUAAAACGCGGCGUGUUCGAAUGAUGAUCGCUUUUACGCUAGAAUGGGGGACCACCCUCUAAGCCUAAGUAUUCCUCAAUGACCGAUAGCGUACAAGUACCGUGAGGGAAAGGUGAAAAGAACCCCAAUCGGGUGA
RNAcentral lists this non-coding RNA (414 nucleotides) under Triticum aestivum (bread wheat). RNAcentral's name for it is "Bacterial large subunit ribosomal RNA". It matches the Rfam family "Bacterial large subunit ribosomal RNA", at positions 185 to 537 of the family's 2925-position model. Lineage: Eukaryota; Viridiplantae; Streptophyta; Magnoliopsida; Poales; Poaceae. RNAcentral also lists the same sequence under 1 other name. The record is from Rfam by way of RNAcentral.